CUCUGCUCCACACGGUCUCGUUGGGGCACAGACGCGUUUGGUUGGACCACUGCGCACUCUCUGUUGAGAGUGAGAUGGGAGGAAGAUAUAAGGAAAAACAGUCGGGGAGUCACAGGUCCUGGAAGGGCGGCGGUGAUUGCUCCAGAGAAGCCUGGCAGGUUGAGCGGGGAAUGAACUGCUCCCGCUCCUGGAACCUCACUGACACAGUAAGGAGGUGUCAUGCCCCCGUCCCAAGAAUGGCGGAGUGCGUGAAAUACAGACAUGAACAGCAGAAAGCACCAGCUAACGGGGAGGGAACCCCGCAGUCCUUCGCAAGAACUGUGAAGACCUCUCUGGCAAGAUACCC
Molecule: long non-coding RNA, 346 nt
Filed under: Equus asinus (donkey)
Lineage: Eukaryota; Metazoa; Chordata; Mammalia; Perissodactyla; Equidae
Description: lncRNA (ENSEASG00005028348.1)
Source: RNAcentral